RNAcentral lists this ribosomal RNA (447 nucleotides) under uncultured bacterium. RNAcentral describes it as "bacterial SSU rRNA". It matches the Rfam family "Bacterial small subunit ribosomal RNA", at positions 329 to 793 of the family's 1533-position model. The record is from RNAcentral.
CGCCAGACUCCUACGGGAGGCAGCAGUGGGGAAUAUUGCACAAUGGGGGAAACCCUGAUGCAGCGACGCCGCGUGAGUGAAGAAGUAUCUCGGUACGUAAAGCUCUAUCAGCAGGGAAGAAAAUGACGGUACCUGACUAAGAAGCCCCGGCUAACUACGUGCCAGCAGCCGCGGUAAUACGUGGGGGGCAAGCGUUAUCCGGAUUUACUGGGUGUAAAGGGCGUGUAGGCGGGAAAGCAGGUCAGAUGUGAAAACCAUGGGCUCAACCUGUGGCCUGCAUUUGAAACUGUAGUUCUUGAGUACUGGAGAGGCAGACGGAAUUCCCAGUGUAGCGGUGAAAUGCGUAGAUAUUAGGAGGAACACCAGCGGCGAAGGCGGUCUGCUGGACAGCAACUGACGCUGAGGCGCGAAAGCGUGGGGAGCAAACAGGAUUAGAUACCCUAGUAU